CCCUUAGACGUUCUGGGCCGCACGCGCGCUACACUGACCAGUGCAACAAGCAUCCGUCCUUGGCCGACAGGCCCGGGCAAUCUUUGAACGCUGGUCGUGAUGGGGAUAGACUUUUGCAAUUUUUGGUCUUCAACGAGGAAUUCCUAGUAAACGCAAGUCAUCAACUUGCAUUGAUUACGUCCCUGCCCUUUGUACACACCGCCCGUCGCACCUACCGAUUGAAUGGUCCGGUGAAGCCUCCGGAUUGGCGCGCACCUCGGUGCCGCCGAGAAGUUGGCUAAACCUUACCAUUUAGAGGAAGGUGGAGUCGUAACA
This 315-nucleotide ribosomal RNA is filed under the name uncultured eukaryote. RNAcentral's name for it is "partial 18S ribosomal RNA". It matches the Rfam family "Eukaryotic small subunit ribosomal RNA", at positions 1470 to 1796 of the family's 1831-position model. The record is from RNAcentral.